GGGCGGCUAGCUCAGUAGGUUAGAGCAACUGCUUUACACGCAGUAGGUCACAGGUUCGAGUCCUGUGCCGCCCACCA
RNAcentral lists this transfer RNA (77 nucleotides) under Puniceicoccales bacterium. Its description in RNAcentral is "tRNA-Val". It matches the Rfam family "tRNA". Rfam says of the family: Transfer RNA (tRNA) molecules are approximately 80 nucleotides in length. The record is from RNAcentral. Lineage: Bacteria; Pseudomonadati; Verrucomicrobiota; Opitutia; Puniceicoccales.